UGCGUCACUUGGUCAUCAUAUACCCCACUGUUGAUCUCUCAAAGUACAGGAUCAGCUAACACUUCAGAAGUACCCGAUUCACCCUUGAUUUUUGGUGGCGUUCGGGUUGUGCUUUCUUUUCUUUCUUGUGUUUUGUGUACUGUUGUUUGUCUCUUUGUCUAUUUAUUGUAUUUUGCCAUGGUUUUAGUUUCGACUAAUUAGAUUAAAAAUCCCUUAAAUAUAUAUCGCUCUCGCUCGCAAAGGUAUAUGGCUUUCAAUUCAAUACGUAUCCUACAUAAAGCUGUGGACCAGGACAGGCGAACAGAUGUUAUUCCCUUAUGAGGAUCUGAAUGGGAAUUGCUGAACAGAUGUUAUUCCCUUAUGAGAAUCUGAAUGGGAAUUGCUGAACAGACGUUAUUCCUUAUGAGGAUCUGAAUGGGAAUUUCUGAACAGAUGUUAUUCCCUUAUGAGGAUCUGAAUGGGAAUUGCUGAACAGAUGUUAUUCCCUUAUGAGGAUCUGAAUGGGAAUUGCUGAACAGAUG
Molecule: long non-coding RNA, 521 nt
Filed under: Mytilus galloprovincialis (Mediterranean mussel)
Lineage: Eukaryota; Metazoa; Mollusca; Bivalvia; Mytilida; Mytilidae
Source: RNAcentral